AGAAAGUUAGUCUAACUAAGACGG
Molecule: transfer RNA, 24 nt
Filed under: Spinus magellanicus (hooded siskin)
Lineage: Eukaryota; Metazoa; Chordata; Aves; Passeriformes; Fringillidae
Description: partial tRNA-Arg
Source: RNAcentral